UACGGGGGGGGCAAGCGUUGUUCGGAAUUACUGGGCGUAAAGGGCGCGUAGGCGGCCUGUUAAGUCGAACGUGAAAUCCCCGGGCUCAACCCGGGAACUGCGUCCGAUACUGGCAGGCUUGAAUCCGGGAGAGGGAUGCGGAAUUCCAGGUGUAGCGGUGAAAUGCGUAGAUAUCUGGAGGAACACCGGUGGCGAAGGCGGCAUCCUGGACCGGUAUUGACGCUGAGGCGCGAAAGCCAGGGGAGCAAACAGG
Molecule: ribosomal RNA, 253 nt
Filed under: uncultured bacterium
Lineage: Bacteria
Description: partial 16S ribosomal RNA
Rfam family: Bacterial small subunit ribosomal RNA
Source: RNAcentral